AGGAUUAGAUACCCGGGUAGUCCCAGCUGUAAACGAUGCAGGCUAGGUGUUUGGACGGCCACGUGCCGUUCUAGUGCCGCAGGGAAGCUGUUAAGCCUGCCGCCUGGGGAGUACGAUCGCAAGAUUGAAACUUAAAGGAAUUGGCGGGGGAGCACCACAAGGGGUGAAGCUUGCGGUUUAAUUGGAGUCAACGCCGGAAAUCUCACCGGGAGCGACAGCAGUAUGAAGGCCAGAUUAAAGGUCUUGCUAGACGAGCUGAGAGGAGGUGCAUGGCCGUCGCCAGUUCGUGCCGUGAGGUGUCCUGUUAAGUCAGGCAACGAUCGAGACCCGCGUCCUCUGUUGCAACUAGCCUUGUGCUGGGCACACUGAGGAGACCGCCACUGAUAAAGUGGAGGAAGGAGCGGGCCACGGCAGGUCAGUAUGCCCCGAAUCUCCCGGGCCACACGCGAGCUGCAAUGGCAGGUACAAUGGGCUCCGACCUCGAAAGGGGAAGGCAAUCUCGAAAGCCUGCCGUAGUUGGGAUCGAGGGCUGAAACCCGCCCUCGUGAACAUGGAAUCCCUAGUAAUCGCGUGUCAUUAGCGCGCGGUGAAUACGUCCCUGCUCCUUGCACACACCGCCCGUCGUUCCAUCCGAGCGACUCUUGGGUGAGGCGCCGUCUUUCGUGGCGGCGUCGAAUCUAAGUUUCGUAAGGGGGGAAAAGUCGUAACAAG
This 711-nucleotide ribosomal RNA is filed under the name uncultured bacterium. Its description in RNAcentral is "bacterial SSU rRNA". It matches the Rfam family "Archaeal small subunit ribosomal RNA", at positions 725 to 1442 of the family's 1478-position model. The record is from RNAcentral.